GUGAAUCAUCAAAUUUUUGAACGCAAAUUGCGCUUCCUGGCAUCCCGGGAAGUAUGCCUGUUUGAGGGUCAGUAUUAAUAAACAAUCGGUUUGGUUACAAAUUGUGUCGUUUCCGGAGUGUGGGCUAUCUUAACAUUUUUGGUUAAGAGGCUUAAAAUUGACCUUUUUUUUGCAUUUUUUGACUUACAUAUCUUUUUUUUUAUUCGGCUUA
This 211-nucleotide unclassified non-coding RNA is filed under the name Glomeraceae sp. Its description in RNAcentral is "partial contains 5.8S ribosomal RNA and internal transcribed spacer 2". The stretch from base 1 to 71 matches the Rfam family "5.8S ribosomal RNA", at positions 84 to 154 of the family's 154-position model. The record is from RNAcentral. Lineage: Eukaryota; Fungi; Glomeromycota; Glomeromycetes; Glomerales; Glomeraceae.